AGUGAACGCUGGCGGUAGGCCUAACACAUGCAAGUCGAACGGCAGCACAGUAAGAGCUUGCUCUUACGGGUGGCGAGUGGCGGACGGGUGAGGAAUACAUCGGAAUCUACUUUUUCGUGGGGGAUAACGUAGGGAAACUUACGCUAAUACCGCAUACGACCUACGGGUGAAAGCAGGGGAUCUUCGGACCUUGCGCGAUUGAAUGAGCCGAUGUCGGAUUAGCUAGUUGGCGGGGUAAAGGCCCACCAAGGCGACGAUCCGUAGCUGGUCUGAGAGGAUGAUCAGCCACACUGGAACUGAGACACGGUCCAGACUCCUACGGGAGGCAGCAGUGGGGAAUAUUGGACAAUGGGCGCAAGCCUGAUCCAGCCAUACCGCGUGGGUGAAGAAGGCCUUCGGGUUGUAAAGCCCUUUUGCUGGGAAAGAAAAGCAGCAGGUUAAUACCCCGCUGUUCUGACGGUACCCAAAGAAUAAGCACCGGCUAACUUCGU
This 491-nucleotide ribosomal RNA is filed under the name uncultured bacterium. RNAcentral's name for it is "partial 16S ribosomal RNA". It matches the Rfam family "Bacterial small subunit ribosomal RNA", at positions 29 to 506 of the family's 1533-position model. The record is from RNAcentral.